GAUGAACGCUGGCGGCGUGCCUAAUACAUGCAAGUCGAGCGAACAGACGAGGAGCUUGCUCCUCUGACGUUAGCGGCGGACGGGUGAGUAACACGUGGAUAACCUACCUAUAAGACUGGGAUAACUUCGGGAAACCGGAGCUAAUACCGGAUAAUAUAUUGAACCGCAUGGUUCAAUAGUUAAAGACGGUUUUUCGUUCACUUAUAGAUGGAUCCGCGCCGCAUUAGCUAGUUGGUAAGGUAACGGCUUACCAAGGCAACGAUGCGUAGCCGACCUGAGAGGGUGAUCGGCCACACUGGAACUGAGACACGGUCCAGACUCCUACGGGAGGCAGCAGUAGGGAAUCUUCCGCAAUGGGCGAAAGCCUGACGGAGCAACGCCGCGUGAGUGAUGAAGGUCUUCGGAUCGUAAAACUCUGUUAUUAGGGAAGAACAAAUGUGUAAGUAACUAUGCACGUCUUGACGGUACCUAAUCAGAAAGCCACGGCUAACUACGUG
RNAcentral lists this ribosomal RNA (497 nucleotides) under uncultured bacterium. RNAcentral describes it as "partial 16S ribosomal RNA". It matches the Rfam family "Bacterial small subunit ribosomal RNA", at positions 28 to 507 of the family's 1533-position model. The record is from RNAcentral.